Molecule: ribosomal RNA, 253 nt
Filed under: uncultured bacterium
Lineage: Bacteria
Description: partial 16S ribosomal RNA
Rfam family: Bacterial small subunit ribosomal RNA
Source: RNAcentral
UACGUAGGGUGCAAGCGUUAAUCGGAAUUACUGGGCGUAAAGCGUGCGCAGGCGGUUUUGUAAGUCUGACGUGAAAUCCCCGGGCUCAACCUGGGAAUUGCGUUGGAGACUGCAAGGCUAGAAUCUGGCAGAGGGGGGUAGAAUUCCACGUGUAGCAGUGAAAUGCGUAGAGAUGUGGAGGAACACCGAUGGCGAAGGCAGCCCCCUGGGUCAAGAUUGACGCUCAUGCACGAAAGCGUGGGGAGCAAACCGG